GCCCGCCCGCAGGCCAGCUUCUCUCGGGAGCCUCCACCCAGGCGCAUGGCUCCAUGAAGCAAGAGGAGGAGGCAGAGCGCGAGAGAUCCCGUCCGCCCCAGCCGCGUCUGGGCCAGGAGAAAAGCAAAACCAUAUUCCUGCUGCUGUCAGUUUUGAUGCACUGAGAAAACUUCAGAGACCUAAGCUUUUUCCAGAGAAGAGAAGCUUUACUGGUGUUCCAGCCCUAAGCAUUGACUUCACUAAUGGAUGUGACCUGGUUGGCAGCAGUAGCUUGCACAACAUGCUUGUUUGCAAAACUUAAAUCCUCAGUGUGACACAACUCAGUCCUUCUACUGCAGCAGCUCUUUUAUAAAAGCCUCCCAAAGCUCCAAGAAGGAACAAAGAAUGUGACCCAGUAAGCUCACACCAUAAGUCUAUAUUGCAGAAACCUUUGUUCAACAAAACUGCAGAUGCUCUGUUGAAUCCACUGGAGAUUGUCCUGAUACUAAGGACAAGUAUGCUCAUAUGACAUUAACAGACAAGACACUUUUCAGAAAGACAGGUUGUUCUUUUGGGCCACAUCUAAGAAAUCUUUGUCUAGCCAAAAGCCACAAAUAAUUUCUCAUUUUUUGGCUUCUGGAAGAUGUACAGUUAAAUGUUAUAUUUGGGACUGUUAUCUAAUUUGAUUAAAUUGCACUCUACAAUAUGAUAUUUGAAUUGAUGAAAAAUUAGUAAAUGUUAAUAUUUUUUAAAGUA
RNAcentral lists this long non-coding RNA (735 nucleotides) under Homo sapiens (human). RNAcentral describes it as "NUTM2A antisense RNA 1". The record is from RNAcentral. Lineage: Eukaryota; Metazoa; Chordata; Mammalia; Primates; Hominidae.